This 68-nucleotide transfer RNA is filed under the name Leucophlebia lineata. Its description in RNAcentral is "tRNA-Ala". It matches the Rfam family "tRNA". Rfam says of the family: Transfer RNA (tRNA) molecules are approximately 80 nucleotides in length. Their secondary structure includes four short double-helical elements and three loops (D, anti-codon, and T loops). Further hydrogen bonds mediate the characteristic L-shaped molecular structure. tRNAs have two regions of fundamental functional importance: the anti-codon, which is responsible for specific mRNA codon recognition, and the 3' end, to which the tRNAs corresponding amino acid is attached (by aminoacyl-tRNA synthetases). tRNAs cope with the degeneracy of the genetic code in two manners: having more than one tRNA (with a specific anti-codon) for a particular amino acid; and 'wobble' base-pairing, i.e. permitting non-standard base-pairing at the 3rd anti-codon position. Lineage: Eukaryota; Metazoa; Arthropoda; Insecta; Lepidoptera; Sphingidae. The record is from RNAcentral.
AGGAUUAUAGUUUAAAUAAAACAUUUGAAUUGCAAUCAAAAUAUAUUGAAAUAAAUCAAUUUAUCUUA